Long non-coding RNA from Dreissena polymorpha, 156 nucleotides. RefSeq lists it as uncharacterized. Lineage: Eukaryota; Metazoa; Mollusca; Bivalvia; Myida; Dreissenidae. The record is from RefSeq and is a predicted model, not a curated record. The transcript is spliced from 3 exons.
GAAAUACACUACUUAAUAUUCCCAGGCGUAAUCUCUUACAACCAUUCCACCCCAGACACUGUCACCCUGGUUGCCAUUGACACGCCUGGCAGAGUUUGUCCCUGCACAGUCUGCGGGAAGAAAUUCCGAGCCCGAUGUUUUGUCUGGCCAGGCACA